This 45-nucleotide non-coding RNA is filed under the name Echinostoma caproni. Lineage: Eukaryota; Metazoa; Platyhelminthes; Trematoda; Plagiorchiida; Echinostomatidae. The record is from RNAcentral.
GCACUGCUGAUGAGACCCAAAUAGGUCAAAACAGUUGUCCAGUAC